CACGCCGUAAACUAUGAUCACUCGCUGUUGGCGAUACACGGUCAGCGGCUAAGCAAAAGCAUUAAGUGAUCCACCUGGGGAGUACGGCCGCAAGGCUGAAACUCAAAGGAAUUGACGGGG
Molecule: ribosomal RNA, 120 nt
Filed under: uncultured bacterium
Lineage: Bacteria
Description: partial 16S ribosomal RNA
Rfam family: Bacterial small subunit ribosomal RNA
Source: RNAcentral